RNAcentral lists this ribosomal RNA (407 nucleotides) under uncultured microorganism. RNAcentral describes it as "bacterial SSU rRNA". It matches the Rfam family "Bacterial small subunit ribosomal RNA", at positions 509 to 917 of the family's 1533-position model. The record is from RNAcentral.
CAGCAGCCGCGGUAAUACGUAGGGGGCGAGCGUUACCCGGAUUCACUGGGCGUAAAGGGGGUGUAGGCGGCUCGGUAAGUCGGGUGUGAAAUCCCACGGCUCAACCGUGGAAUUGCGCCCGAAACUGCCGAGCUUGGGGCCGGUAGAGGGAGACGGAACUGCCGGUGUAGGGGUGAAAUCCGUAGAUAUCGGCAGGAACGCCGGUGGGGAAGCCGGUCUCCUGGGCCGCGCCCGACGCUGAGGCCCGAAAGCUAGGGGAGCAAACCGGAUUAGAUCCCCGGGUAGUCCACGCCGUAAACGGUGGGCACUAGGUGUGGGGGGUUAAUCCCUCCGUGCCGAAGCUAACGCAUUAAGUGCCCCGCCUGGGGAGUACGGCCGCAAGGUUGAAACUUAAAGGAAUUGGCGGG